AGUGAACGCUGGCGGCAGGGCCUAAUACAUGCAAGUCGAACGGCAGCACAGCAGAGCUUGCUCUGUGGGUGGCGAGUGGCGGACGGGUGAGGAAUACGUGGGAAUCUGCCCAGUCGUGGGGGAUAACGUAGGGAAACUUACGCUAAAUACCGCAUGCGCCCUUCGGGGGAAAGCCGGGGACCUUCGGGCCUGGCGCGAUUGGAUGAGCCCACGUCGGAUUAGCUAGUUGGCGGGGUAAAGGCCCACCAAGGCGACGAUCCGUAGCUGGUCUGAGAGGAUGAUCAGCCACACUGGAACUGAGACACGGUCCAGACUCCUACGGGAGGCAGCAGUAGGGAAUAUUGGACAAUGGGCGCAAGCCUGAUCCAGCCAUGCCGCGUGAGUGAAGAAGGCCCUCGGGUUGUAAAGCUCUUUUGUCCGGAAAGAAAAGCGCCGGGUUAAUACCCUGGUGUCCUGACGGUACCGGAAGAAUAAGCACCGGCUAACUUCGUG
RNAcentral lists this ribosomal RNA (492 nucleotides) under uncultured bacterium. Its description in RNAcentral is "bacterial SSU rRNA". It matches the Rfam family "Bacterial small subunit ribosomal RNA", at positions 29 to 507 of the family's 1533-position model. The record is from RNAcentral.